AUAAGAUGCCGUUGGUAAC
RNAcentral lists this non-coding RNA (19 nucleotides) under Arabidopsis thaliana (thale cress). The record is from RNAcentral. Lineage: Eukaryota; Viridiplantae; Streptophyta; Magnoliopsida; Brassicales; Brassicaceae.